GGAUCUAGAAUCAGGGGCGGAGUGAGAGCUCCGCGCCCGCCGCCUCCUCCCGAUUCCCCGCUUUCUUUCUCACCGCGCGCACACGCAUUUUUCGCGGCUGAUGUCACCGCGUUAUCCGGUCCGCAAAUCCCCUCCUCCUGUUCCUCUCUCCCCAUCACAACGAGACCUCCCCCCCUCCCCCACAGACACAUGCACCCCAACCCCAAAGCGACACCCCCUCAGAUGAAGUUCAGUUGAAGUUAAGCUGAAGUUUUUCCCAUGAAGCCCCGCGGCCUUGAGGUCUGUUCUUCUUCUUCCCGUUGAAUCUGCAACGGCCUUGAAUGAGUCACCAUGCUGAGGUCUGGGAAAGUUCCUUAAAAUGUCCGCGGUGCGUCCCGUGACCUGCCGUCCUUCCCUCGUUUCACAUCCGCACAACAAACAAACAAACAGCGACAACAACAAAAAGAGCUGUGACUUUGUCCUCAAACCUGAAUUGGACAUGAAUUGGACUUUUGUUGCGAACACACGCACGUCCCACCGACGCGACUCGGGUUUAGCUUUAGUCACAUGAGGCCUCGCCUCGCCUCAUCGGUUAGUUCAGCGCACGGCAGAAGAGCCUCCGAGCUUUUUGGGUGAACGUCACGCCUCGUUCUCGUGAUUCAAGAGACUCUGAAAGAGUUCGUUUGUGAGGUCGAAACCACCACGACCUCAUUACGCUCUUAAUGCUCGGCGCAUUCGGUGAAGGAGUCCAGUUUGACGUUGUGAUCGCUCGCGGUCGCUGAAGCGAUCCACCUGUGAUCGGCCAAAUGGGAUGGAGGCCGCAUGGGAUGGAGGCCACAUGUGAUGGAGGCCGCAUGGGAUGGAGGCCACAUGGGAUGGAGGACUCUCGGCGGCACAGUGUGGGUCAUUGUUUUCAACGGAUGCAAAUCGGCACACGCCGGUUUGCAUAGAACCGGCUUCCUUUUACGACGACCCAAAAGCUCCCAGAGAGGGAGGGGUGGUGGAGGGGUGGGGGGGUUAUUAGCAUGCUGGGCUUUAUGGAAACGCCCUGAAGGCCACAGACAGGCAAGAGGUCCCCAACGUGGUCUCGCCAGGAGAACAGUGAGUGAACGCGCUCGGCGUCUCUAAUCGCCUCCAAUGUCUCCGGGAGGAUCUUUUCUCCGCGUCCCAUGCUGCAUUCUGUCUGGGACAAACCCCCCCCAAAAAAAGCUUCCGUGCGGCGUUGGGACCGGGGGGAGGGGACGGGGGGAGGUGCAGAAACGGUGAGGAGAACACUGCCGCAGUGAGGAGCAUGGAGGAGCUGGCCGGCCUCACGACAUGCUCAGUCCCUGACCCCCCCCCCCCAAAAAAUAAGGAAGUUCUUGUCUUUCUCAUCACAAGACCGACUCCCCCUUCCUCCCCCAAACGGAGAUGGUUGUGCCAGCUUGUUUGAAUGCAUCGUAUUGAAGGGGACAGAGGGACAAGCAGGGACAUUCACAGCUCUUGUUCUGCUGCUCUUACUUCGUAAGAACAAACCUCGUGGUCCGGAAGGUCUUAAGGGUUGAUCAUAACCCUUUUUGUAAUGAUUACUGGGAUAAUCGACACACAAACCCGGGCUCCGACGGCACAAGAGUUCAGUGUAAGAGUCGAAUUGUCCACAUUCAACAAGGCGAAGCGCGUUGGACGAGAGAAAGAAGAGGACAACAUCGUGGCGGUUUAGUUUAGUAGCACUUGGGUGGAUUUCAAGAUAAUCGCCGUCCAAAGCGUCCUCGGGGUGACUCGAGUCAUUCGGAGCUCUGUUGGGCCCCCCCCCCUGCGGCCCCCGCCUCAACGUGUCAGGCGGUCGAGCGUCCCGGUGACGUUGGCUGGUGCC
This is a long non-coding RNA of Gasterosteus aculeatus aculeatus (three-spined stickleback), 1831 nucleotides long. The record is from Ensembl. NCBI's taxonomy places the organism in Eukaryota, Metazoa, Chordata, Actinopteri, Perciformes, Gasterosteidae.